GCCCGAGUGGCGAAAUAGGUAGACGCGUUGGACUUAAAAUCCAAUGACAGCAAUGUCGUGCCGGUUCAAGUCCGGCCUCGGGUACCA
RNAcentral lists this transfer RNA (87 nucleotides) under Tenericutes bacterium 4572_104. RNAcentral's name for it is "tRNA-Leu". It matches the Rfam family "tRNA". From Rfam's summary of the family: Transfer RNA (tRNA) molecules are approximately 80 nucleotides in length. Their secondary structure includes four short double-helical elements and three loops (D, anti-codon, and T loops). Further hydrogen bonds mediate the characteristic L-shaped molecular structure. tRNAs have two regions of fundamental functional importance: the anti-codon, which is responsible for specific mRNA codon recognition, and the 3' end, to which the tRNAs corresponding amino acid is attached (by aminoacyl-tRNA synthetases). tRNAs cope with the degeneracy of the genetic code in two manners: having more than one tRNA (with a specific anti-codon) for a particular amino acid; and 'wobble' base-pairing, i.e. permitting non-standard base-pairing at the 3rd anti-codon position. The record is from RNAcentral. Lineage: Bacteria; Bacillati; Mycoplasmatota. RNAcentral also lists the same sequence under 1 other name.